ACAGGGAUAUUAUCAGUUUGUUCAUUGCUAUAUCCCCAAGGCUUUAAAUAGUGUUUGGCACAUAGUAAGCACUCAAUAAAUGUAUAUUGAAUAAUUCAAUGAAUGUUCUGCAAUGUGACAGUCCAGUGAGCCACCCAGAUUGCUGAGAUAUGGUCUGCCUAUCUAACACUAUGUGGAGAUAAUAUUUCUGUGGAUUUUUCUGUAUUCUAAAUGCUUGGUUUAGACUGAUUGAUUUUAGUAUUUAGUACUGUGUACUUGAAAUGCUGUUAAUUCUCCAUGUAGUCAAAAAUGGCUAAACUCUCUAAUCCCUUUCUUUACAACUUUGUGGAGUGGAAUUCCCAGGUAAACAACCUGUUAAACGUCUUGUUAGAUUUCUUUUAGUUGUGUAUAUUUUGGGGGCAGUGAUAGUGGUGGCAAAGAGACACUUUAAUGGAAAACCAUAAGUUAGGAUUCCCCAUUCUCUACUUAAAACUCCAAUAAGUUCUUUUUUCAAAUUAAAAAAAUAUAUAUAUGUUUUAACUUUUAGUUUUAGAGAGAGCAUGUGAGUGGGGGAGAGGAGCAGAAGGAGAGAGAGAGGAUCUUAAGCAGGCUCCACACUCGGCAUGUAGCCUGAUAUGGAGCUCAAUCCCAUGACCCUGAGAUCGUGACCUGAUCCGAAAUCAAGAGUCGGAUGCUCAACCCACUGAGCCACCCGGGUGACCCUAAAACUCCAAAAAAAUUCUUAACUGAAAUUUUGAUAAAAAGCAAAUGAGGCUAUGUAGCAUAAGAUGAAUAAAGGGUACUAUAGUGUAGUUGCACUAGCCACAUUUUAAGUGCUUAGUUGUCACACAUGGCUAGUCACUAUCAUUUUGAACAGUGCAGUUAUAGAACGUUUCAUCAUUGCAAACAAUUCUACUGGACAGCACUGCCCUACACAGUGGGGACUGUGAAGAUUGAUCUAGAUAAUAAGGUUUUGACUAGGAGCAAUCCUACAAAUAACUUUCAAGAUAUGUAACCUGAAUGAGAACAUCGAAAAGUCUAAACCACCCAUAAGUUUUGAAGCUGUCCAUUACUUUUCAACCUAAUAUAUUCUGGAGCUUGGUACUGAGAGUAAAGAAAAAAAAAUAGGUAAGAAA
This is a long non-coding RNA of Neofelis nebulosa (Clouded leopard), 1115 nucleotides long. RefSeq lists it as uncharacterized. The transcript is spliced from 3 exons. NCBI's taxonomy places the organism in Eukaryota, Metazoa, Chordata, Mammalia, Carnivora, Felidae. The record is from RefSeq and is a predicted model, not a curated record.